RNAcentral lists this small RNA (399 nucleotides) under Colletotrichum arxii. RNAcentral's name for it is "eukaryotic LSU rRNA". The stretch from base 75 to 228 matches the Rfam family "5.8S ribosomal RNA". Lineage: Eukaryota; Fungi; Ascomycota; Sordariomycetes; Glomerellales; Glomerellaceae. The record is from RNAcentral.
UCGUCGGGCCGCCGGAGGAUAACCAGACUCUGAUUUAACGACGUUUCUUCUGAGUGGCACAAGCAAAUAAUCAAAACUUUUAACAACGGAUCUCUUGGUUCUGGCAUCGAUGAAGAACGCAGCGAAAUGCGAUAAGUAAUGUGAAUUGCAGAAUUCAGUGAAUCAUCGAAUCUUUGAACGCACAUUGCGCCCGCCAGCAUUCUGGCGGGCAUGCCUGUUCGAGCGUCAUUUCAACCCUCAAGCUCUGCUUGGCGUUGGGGCCCUACGGCUGACGUAGGCCCUCAAAGGUAGUGGCGGACCCUCUCGGAGCCUCCUUUGCGUAGUAACUUUUUGUCUCGCACUGGGAUCCGGAGGGGCUUUCCGGCCGUAAAACCCCCCAAUCUUCCAAAGGUGACCUCG